Non-coding RNA from Monodelphis domestica (gray short-tailed opossum), 421 nucleotides. The record is from RefSeq and is a predicted model, not a curated record. Lineage: Eukaryota; Metazoa; Chordata; Mammalia; Didelphimorphia; Didelphidae.
GUCUGGUGGCUUGUCGCUGGUCCCACCUGUUAGCAGGAGAGGGGGAAGGGAAAGAAAGAAAGAGAGGAGAGGAGAGGGUUGGAUUAUUAGCUGGCAGUGUCUUGGCCUUCUAGGGAUAGCGACUCACUUGGACUGGAGUAGUUUGCCAUUUGGAAUGAGAGGAUUCGUUUUUCUGGUUAAUAGGGUCCGAAGAAAUUGUCCCUACUAAUAACUUGAGGACCUAAAUACGUUGGAGAAGCCAUUAGUUGCCCCCAUCCUCCUCUGGCCCACUGCUGCCAACCAACUUUCUGCUGGACACUUUGGAACCUCUCCCCGAGUCGGUGUUUGAUUGAGGAGACAAUAAAACCAGGAAGCUUCCCUGCCGCUCAUAAAAUAAACAGGGCCCAAACGCUUCCAGGAUAGUGCUGAUGGGAUGUCUGGA